RNAcentral lists this ribosomal RNA (1436 nucleotides) under metagenome. RNAcentral describes it as "bacterial LSU rRNA". It matches the Rfam family "Bacterial large subunit ribosomal RNA", at positions 1512 to 2925 of the family's 2925-position model. The record is from RNAcentral.
AAAAUUGUGUAGGGCGAGGUGUAGGCAAAUCCGCACCUCAUCAGCCUGAGACAAGAAGACUAGGUCGUCCUUGUGACGGCGAGAGUGGGUGAUCCUAUGCUGCCUAGAAAAUCUUCGUGAGCGAGUUCUAGAGCCGCCCGUACCCUAAACCGACUCAGGUGGUCAGGUAGAGAAUACCAAGGUGAUCGAGAUAACCGUGGUUAAGGAACUCGGCAAAAUGCCCCCGUAACUUCGGGAGAAGGGGGGCCAACGCUGUGAAGGGACAUACGUGCCCGGAGCAGCCGCGGCCGCAGAGACCAGGCCCAAGCGACUGUUUACUAAAAACACAGGUCCGUGCUAAGUCGCAAGACGCUGUAUACGGACUGACGCCUGCCCGGUGCUGGAACGUUAAGGGGAAGUGUUAGGGGUAACUCGAAGCACUGAACUUAAGCGCCAGUAAACGGCGGUGGUAACUAUAACCAUCCUAAGGUAGCGAAAUUCCUUGUCGGGUAAGUUCCGACCUGCACGAAUGGCGUAACGACUUGGGCGCUGUCUCGACCACGGACUCGGCGAAAUUGCACUACGAGUAAAGAUGCUCGUUACGCGCAGCAGGACGGAAAGACCCCGGGACCUUUACUAUAGUUUGGUAUUGGUGUUCGGUACAGCUUGUGUAGGAUAGGUGGGAGACUUUGAAGCGGCCACGCCAGUGGUUGUGGAGUCAACGUUGAAAUACCACUCUGGCUGUUCUGGAUAUCUAACCUAGGUCCGUUAUCCGGAUCAGGGACAGUGCCUGAUGGGUAGUUUGACUGGGGCGGUCGCCUCCCAAAAGGUAACGGAGGCGCCCAAAGGUUCCCUCAGCCUGGUUGGCAAUCAGGUUUUGAGUGUAAGUGCACAAGGGAGCUUGACUGUGAGAGAGACAUCUCAAACAGGGACGAAAGUCGGGACUAGUGAUCUGACGGUGGCACGUGGAAGCGCCGUCACUCAACGGAUAAAAGGUACCCCGGGGAUAACAGGCUGAUCUUGCCCGAGCGUCCAUAGCGACGGCAUGGUUUGGCACCUCGAUGUCGGCUCGUCGCAUCCUGGGGCUGGAGUCGGUCCCAAGGGUUGGGCUGUUCGCCCAUUAAAGCGGCACGCGAGCUGGGUUUAGAACGUCGUGAGACAGUUCGGUCCCUAUCCGCUGCGCGCGUAGGAGUCUUGAGGAGGGCUGUCCUUAGUACGAGAGGACCGGGACGGACGAACCUCUGGUGUGCCAGUUGUUCUGCCAAGAGCACGGCUGGUUGGCUACGUUCGGAAGUGAUAACCGCUGAAAGCAUCUAAGCGGGAAGCACGCUCCAAGAUGAUGGCUCCCACAGGAUAACCUGGUAAGGCCCCCAGCAGACCACUGGGUGAUAGGCCGGAUGUGGAAGUGCAGCAAUGCAUGGAGCUGACCGAUACUAAUAGGCCGAGGGCUUGUUCAG